AACCUUUAGUCAGGUCUGGGAUAAAACAGCGUAAACAAACAGCAGCCUAAAGCAAACAGCCUGAGCAAAUACACUGUUGGACAAACAUUUUUUGAUUGCAAAGUAAAAAAGGGAAAGUACAAAAAAAGUGCAUAGAUAUCUUAAGAAAGUGUCAAGUCUCAAUGCGGAUAGUUUUUUCUUAUAUAUCGGAGAUCUGAGUAUUCUACCUUUCUUGUAGAGCCAUAAAAAAAAGAAAAUGUACAAUGUCACAAAAAGACAGACAGACAAAGAAAGGAGCAAAUGAUUCCAAUAAAAAUUACUGACUUCGACAUUUGGGGAUUAUCCAGAUCAAUAUCAUAUAUUGGUUUUAUUGCUUUGUGACCCUUUAAAGUACAAAAAUCUCUACAGGCAUCAAGCAGACCAACAGAGAAGCUGUGAUAAUCAAACACAAACUGGCUAAAUCCACAAUAUUGCGACAGAUGUUUCACUGCUGUCUUUAAAUCAAAUUAGAUUCAUACCUGAACAUAACAGUGAGCAGAGGAUCAGAGCCCCAGGUGAUAAAUCCAUGAUGAACAGAGAACAACCUCACUUUCUCCCCACAGUUAAACCUCUUUCUCUCUCUCCCUCUCCCUCUCUCUCUCUCUCUCUCUCUCUGUCUCUUUUUCAUACAAUCGCUUUCGACCUUUAACCCCUGGCUUACCAUUUACCCCUUCUCCUAUUCAAUCACUGUCUGUAAGUUUCUGUCACUUAUGAACCAUUUCAUUCAAAGGUUGUUGUUUUUGUUACUUUCUUAAUAAGGUAAUAUUUGUUGAUCAUAAAAAUGAUCUUGUUUUCCUGAAUGAUAUCAUGUGAGUAAAUUCUUAAAAAUAGUUCACUUCACUUACAUUACAUGUGCAUACUUUGUAGGAUAUGUUCUGUUGAAAAGUACCCAAGUUGGACUUAAUGACUUCAAUUAUUUGACAUGUGAUUGCGGCACACAUGGAUUUAAUUUAGUGAUUCUGCUUUCCAUGAAAAUGAUUUAACUCCAUGUGUGUGUGUGUGUGUUGACCUAUGAGCGAGGUCCUACAGCGGCUGAUCAAUCAGACUCUCAAAGCUUCCGCCGGAUCGGAGGCAUAAAAAUAAAGAGAAAUAAAUCGGCAAUAUCAAAAGGUGGAACAUGAGGAAGACCCCAGCUGCCCUUCAGGACAAAGACCACAGUGGCGUCUUGUGCACCUUUCCACUUCCUUACCUCAUCACACCCAAGUUGAGGGGAAAGCCUGCUAUGUGGUGACAUGUUUAUUUCAAUCUAAAAACAUAGAUACUGAGGCCAACACUUCCAUGGGGCAAACUGUGAUGGGAGUGUAUGCCAUACAGAAGGUGGGUGCGGACACUGAAGAUGAGCCAGAGGACAUUGGUGUCCUGAUUGAGGGUGUGGAGGUCCUCAGUGGUUUGGGUAACAUUGUGAUUGCCUGUGCUCUGCUCUUUGGACUGAUAUACUGUCUGAACCUGAGCUACCCACCAGAGCUAAAAUGCACUUUUGAAGUCCUGCAGAAGAUUCUGCUGAACCUGGAUGGGCAGAGUUUGACGUCCAAGGCACAG
Molecule: long non-coding RNA, 1557 nt
Organism: Platichthys flesus (European flounder)
Lineage: Eukaryota; Metazoa; Chordata; Actinopteri; Pleuronectiformes; Pleuronectidae
Exons: 3
Source: RefSeq, a predicted model, not a curated record